RNAcentral lists this long non-coding RNA (3961 nucleotides) under Ovis aries (sheep). RNAcentral's name for it is "lncRNA (ENSOARG00000026496.1)". The record is from RNAcentral. Lineage: Eukaryota; Metazoa; Chordata; Mammalia; Artiodactyla; Bovidae.
GCCCUGCAGCUGGUGGUCCCGCUGCAGCACCCGCUCGGCCACUUGGAAGAAGGGAAAGAACAGGUCAUCAGGGCUCCAAGCCAUGGUAGGGAACAGCCCUGUCCUGCCCCACUCACCCCUCCAGUGCUGGAAGGAGACCACGGUGCCCAGGUGCCCUGGGAGGCUGCGCAUGCCCUCCAGUGGCCCCCCUGCCCCUGCGGCGGCCCUCCCCUGGCUAAACUNNNNNNNNNNNNNNNNNNNNNNNNNNNNNNNNNNNNNNNNNNCCCCCCCGCCGGCGGCCCGGGGGCCCCCCCCCCCCCCCCCCCCCCCCCCCCGCCGCUGCGGCGCUCAUUCUCCAGGUACAGCUCCAGCAGCAGCAGGUCUGCAGGGGGGUCACCUCCUACCACACGCACUGCCCGGGCCUGGGGCACCCAGGCCAGGGAGACCUCAGCCCCCUCCAGGCCCAGGGCCUGGGCGUGCACCUCCAGGACGCCAGCUUCUGCCUCAGAAAGGGGCUUGGGCAGUUGCACCAGGGCACGAUCUGGUCGGGGACUGGCCAAAGUGUGGCAAGGCUGCUCCGGGUGCCCGGCGGCACAAAGCAGAGCUUGGACGUACUGCUCCAGGAGCUGGGGUGUGGUGCCAGGAGGCAAUCCUUGGAGCAGCAGGCGCGCAGAGGCGCGUGGUGGGGCUGGCCGCAGGCUCAGCCUAGCCCCCUGCAGAGUGUGCUCUGGCCAGGCCAGGACCCUCGCGGCAUCUGCGGGCAAGGGGAGGGGCUGGUCAGGGCCAGCGGCCAGAGGGGCCCAGGCUGUCCCUUUCCGUCGGUCCCUCACCUGCAGGCUCCUCAAAGGUGAGGAUGCCCCCGCGGCCGAGUCUCUGCCAACUCGCCAGAGGCCCACCCCCAGAGCUUCGCCGGUUCUCGAAGUAGAGCGUGAGCAGCUCGUCUGGGACGCUGGGGGGCAGACCACUGAGCUCCACUGCCGCUCCCGCCUCCAACUCCGCCUCUCCCAUCGCCACCCUGGGGCCAGAAGAGGGGGUAGGCAGCAGCCCCACCGUUCCACCUCACGCAGCCCGGGUCCCUUGGUAGCGUUCCCUGAGGUCCCCUUCACUGUGCAGGCGACCUACAUCCCCCCACUUACGCUCCCCGACCCCAGCCUGAGCUGCCCCAACCCGGGCCUUCAGCCAGGACUCCCUCCCCACACCCUGGGACAGGAAAGCAAAAGCGAAACUGUUGCAGGAAGGGAGGAGCGAGCAGUACUGCGCGAGUGUGGCCUUUCAGGUGCUUCCUUCUCAGGCUCCUCCUGCAGGGAUGUUCCAGCCCCGCCCCCGCCCCGCCCCUCCGGCCCUCCAUCAAAACUUCCCCCCNNNNNNNNNNNNNCCGCCCACCAGUCCCGUCCGUUUGUCGUCUGUCCCACCCCAGCCCAGUGGCUGCAGGGUGGGGGGAGUGGCCCCUGGAGGUCCUCCACUCCCACUGGCCCUUCCCUGUGAACCUCAAGACGGCCAAUCACCCUCCCUGGUAAAUACGCCGGGGUUCUUGAGUCAUUGCCCCCAACUCAAAGACCUCAAGCCUCUGUGUUCCCUUCCCCCACUGCAGAGACUUUGGGUCUGCCUGAGGCUGGCUUUCGACUCUCCCCAGCAACCUUGGUGCCUGCACCUGCACUCACCCUUCAACAACUCAAAGGUGGCCGACCUCCCACCUGGCGAAGGUGAGCAGCUCAGCUCCUGACCCUGGAGGGGUACGUCCCGUCCCCAUCACUGCUGGCCCAAGGCACUGCCAUGCCUCUCGCCCGGCUGCACCUUUAGAACCCACACUCCCUCUUGCCAUCCAGUCACCCCUUCCCUGGUGCCCGUAUUCAUUGGCUUCCAGCCUCUGGAAGAGUUGUGCCCACAGUGCUCUCCACCCCCACCUCCCACUUAGCCCUCAGCCACAAAAACUCCCCUUAACCCCUGCUACUUCUGCAAGGGAUUGAGGGCCUGUCCAGUCUGUACCCUGAGCUGCCCCCACCCUGGUCCGAGCCUGUCAUCUCUCGUCUAGAUCACGUGUCUGACUUCUGAACUGAUCUCUCUCUGCCACUCCUGCCCUAUCACACUGUCCAACCUCAACAGAGGGCCUUAAAAGUCACACCAACAGCUGCUAGAGAUUGGACCAUGAUGAAGCCAAAGUCGUUUGGAAGACCUGUCAGGCUGUACUGACCAGGCCCCAGUCCCUGCUGGCUGAAUGCCCCUGUAUCCCCCGAGCUCCGUCAUCCAGUGCAGCAGACCCUCCCUCCCUGACACCUUUGUACUGGCCCUUCCCUCUUCUAGACCAGCCUUUCCCACAGAGCCACCUGGCCACCCCUCCCCCCAACUCACCUUGCUAGGUUCUUGGUGGCAGGUUUAACUUGAACUUAAAAGUCUUCAAGGACCCUCCUAAAGCCCUGACCUCAACUUCACUUUUGUCAUUUUUAGUUUUUUUCUUUAAAAAAGGACCCUCAAAUUGUAUUAACUUCUAGUUGUACAAAACCUGAAGUCACCGCUGCCUGCUCUAUGCUUUGUCUUCUCAUGGAACUCAUUGUCAACAAAGGUCCAUGUAGUCAAGGCUAUGGUUUUUCCAGUAGUCAUGUAUGGAUGUGAGAGUUGGACUAUAAAGAAAGCUGAGUGCCGAAGAAUUGAUGCUUUUGAACAGUGGUGUUGGAGAAGACUCUUGAGAGUCCCUUGGACUGUAAGGAGAUCCAACCAGUCCAUCCUAAAGCAGAUCAGUCCUGGGUGUUCAUUGGAAGGACUGAUGCUAAAGCUGAAACUCCAAUCUUUUGGCCACCUGAUGCGAAGAGCUGACUCAUUUGAAAAGACCCUGAUGCUGGGAAAGAUUGAGGGCAGGAGGAGAAGGGGACGACAGAGGAUGAGAUGUUUAGAUGGCAUCCCCGACUCAAGACUCAAUGGACAUGAGUUUGGGUAGACUCUGGGAGUUGGUGAUGGACAAAGAGGCCUGGCAUGCUGCAGUUCAUGGGGUUGCAAUGAGUCGGAUACGACUGAGUGACUGAACUGGACUGGAACUCAUUGCCCUCUAACACAAUGUAUAAUUUACUUAUUAUACCUAUACCUACUGUGGAGGAUCUACCCCAGGUGGCAGUGUGCCGGAACAACUCACAUCAUGACGACAACAUUGUUCAAUUUGGGGGAAUCUUUGUGAGUCAGUUUGUAAACUGGUGGUCAGUCGAAAUAAGCCAUGAUGCGGUAUUUAUGCCAAGGACAUGUGCAAAGGCACAGAUCAGGGCUUCCCCACGUUGGGGUCAGUUUUUCAACACGGAACCAACACAUCCCCUGCACAGGACAGAGCCUUUCCGAACCACUGCCAGGCCUGGGAGAGGCCACCAUCCAGGAGUCCAGAAAGUAUAGUAGGACUCCUAGGCCCCAGGGGGAGAGGCACUCCUGCAGGGACUCCAGGAGACAGCGCCCCAGGGGAUGUCCCUGACUGGGGCAGGCAGUGCUUCUUCUCAAGACCACUGAAGCCUAGGGAAGUUAACUUGACCUCCGGUUCUGGGGCAUCUCUAAGCCUCAGUCCCUCAGCAGAGAAACAGGGCUAAGAACGCCACCCUUACUGUUUGUGAGUUUGUGAAGUGAGAAUGAAUGAUCUAGUGGGGACCUAGACUAGCUUAACGGAGAGGACUGAGCAAUUAUACAAUCAGGUCUCUUGAUCUGGGAUAGCCUUGGAUGAAAUGGAAAGUGGGGUUUCAAGGUCAAGGAGGGAUGGAGAGUGCUAGUCAAAACUCAGCAAAUCUCAAAUUUAGGAAUAAAUUUCUCGACUCUGACCCAAAUUGGAGAGGCCAGGUGUCAGCCUCCAGGUCUAUAGCUCUCAGAGCCCAAGCCCAACUCUCUGUGGACGAGCGCGAGAAAGACACCAGCAGGGCGGCGGAAUGGGGCAGGAUCCAUCCGGGGAGGCGCCGCCCUCCCGCAGAGCCCCGUCCGCGGCCCCGCCCCCCGCCCCGCCCGCGGCCCCGCCCCGCCA